UGGGGAAUCUUGCGCAAUGGGCGAAAGCCUGACGCAGCAACGCCGCGUGGAGGAUGAAGGCCCUUGGGUUGUAAACUCCUGUCGGCUGGGAAGAAGUUGUUCGCGACUAAUACUCGCGGACAUUGACUGUACCAGCAAAGGAAGCCCCGGCUAACUCUGUGCCAGCAGCCGCGGUAAUACGAAGGGGGCUAGCGUUGUUCGGAAUUACUGGGCGUAAAGGGUUUGUAGGCGGUCUUUUAAGCCAGUGGUGAAAGCCCGGGGCUUAACCCCGGAAUUGCCAUUGGUACUGGAAGGCUAGAGAGUGUUAGAGGAAAGUGGAAUUCCUAGUGUAGGAGUGAAAUCCGUAGAGAUUAGGAGGAAUAUCGAUGGCGAAGGCAGCUUUCUGGGACAUUUCUGACGCUGAGAAACGAAAGCGUGGGUAGCAAACAG
RNAcentral lists this ribosomal RNA (429 nucleotides) under uncultured bacterium. RNAcentral's name for it is "bacterial SSU rRNA". It matches the Rfam family "Bacterial small subunit ribosomal RNA", at positions 355 to 775 of the family's 1533-position model. The record is from RNAcentral.